GAAAUGCGAUAAGUAGUGUGAAUUGCAGAAUUCAGUGAAUCAUCGAAUCUUUGAACGCACAUUGCGCCCCUUGGUAUUCCAUGGGGCAUGCCUGUUCGAGCGUCAUCUACACCCUCAAGCUCUGCUUGGUGUUGGGCGUCUUUGUCCCGUCUCCGCGCGUGGACUCGCCCCAAAGUGAUUGGCAGCCGGCGUACUGGUCCCGGAGCGCAGCACAUGUCGCGCAAACGAGUGCCUUGGUACGGCGGCGUCCAUAAGCCCCUCUCUCACGCUCUUGACCUCGGAUCAGGUAGGGAUACCCGCUGAACUUAAGC
Molecule: unclassified non-coding RNA, 311 nt
Filed under: plant metagenome
Description: partial contains 5.8S ribosomal RNA, internal transcribed spacer 2, and large subunit ribosomal RNA
Rfam family: 5.8S ribosomal RNA (bases 1-105)
Source: RNAcentral